UACAGAGGUCUCAAGCGUUGUUCGGAUUCCUUGGGCGUAAAGGGUUUGUAGGUGGCGCGCUAAGUCGGGUGUGAAAUUUCGGAGCUUAACUCCGAAACUGCAUUCGAUACUGGCGUGCUUGAGGACUGGAGAGGAGACUGGAAUUCAUGGUGUAGCAGUGAAAUGCGUAGAGAUCAUAAGGAAGACCAGUGGCGAAGGCGGGUCUCUGGACAGUUCCUGACACUGAGACACGAAGGCCAGGGGAGCAAACGGG
Molecule: ribosomal RNA, 253 nt
Filed under: uncultured bacterium
Lineage: Bacteria
Description: partial 16S ribosomal RNA
Rfam family: Bacterial small subunit ribosomal RNA
Source: RNAcentral